This 320-nucleotide ribosomal RNA is filed under the name uncultured eukaryote. RNAcentral describes it as "partial 18S ribosomal RNA". It matches the Rfam family "Eukaryotic small subunit ribosomal RNA", at positions 1470 to 1796 of the family's 1831-position model. The record is from RNAcentral.
CCCUUAGAUGUUCUGGGCCGCACGCGCGCUACACUGAACAGUUCAACAAGUCUUAACCUUGGCCGAUAGGUCUGGGUAAUCUUUGAACGCUGUUCGUGAUUGGGAUAGACCUUUGCAAUUAUGGGUCUUCAACGAGGAAUUCCUAGUAAACGCAAGUCAUCAGCUUGCAUUGAUUACGUCCCUGCCCUUUGUACACACCGCCCGUCGCACCUACCGAUUGAAUGGUCCGGUGAAAUCUCGGGACGGCGGCUUGGUCGCUUGCGUCCGACUGCUGAAACUUGAUUAAACCAUAUCAUUUAGAGGAAGGUGAAGUCGUNACA